UGAAACACGGAUUGCGGAGUGCUUGUCUACUGCGAGUCAAAGGGUGUUAAAACCUUGCGGCGAAAUGAAAGUAAAGGUCAGUCUCGAAUUGGCCGACGUGGGAUCUGUGUUCUUCGGAGUGCAGCGCACCACGGCCCUGUGCGUGUCACUUGUGACUGUGCAGAGGUUGAGCAGUUGGCAAACGACCCGAAAGAUGGUGAACUAUGCCUGAGCAGGAUGAAGCCAGAGGAAACUCUGGUGGAAGUCCGUAUCGGUUCUGACGUGCAAAUCGAUCGAUAGACUUGGGUAUAGGGGCGAAAGACUAAUCGAACCAUCUAGUAGCUGGUUCCUUCCGAAGUUUCCCUCAGGAUAGCUGGAUCUCAGGCAGUUAUAUUCGGUAAAGCUAAUGAUUAGAGGCCUUGGGGACGUAAUGUCCUCAACCUAUUCUCAAACUUUCAAUGGAUAUGAAGUUGCAGUUUCUUUAGUGAACUGUCAACGUGAAUGCGAGGUCCAAGUGGGCCAUUUUUGGUAAGCA
This 514-nucleotide ribosomal RNA is filed under the name Caenorhabditis elegans. RNAcentral describes it as "partial large subunit ribosomal RNA". It matches the Rfam family "Eukaryotic large subunit ribosomal RNA", at positions 655 to 1146 of the family's 3401-position model. The record is from RNAcentral. Lineage: Eukaryota; Metazoa; Nematoda; Chromadorea; Rhabditida; Rhabditidae.